GACGAACGCUGGCGGCGUGCUUAACACAUGCAAGUCGAACGGAAAGGCCCUGCUUUUGUGGGGUGCUCGAGUGGCGAACGGGUGAGUAACACGUGAGUAACCUGCCCUUGUCUUUGGUAUAACUUCAGGAAACUGGGGCUAAUACCGGAUGGAAGCUCCGCCUGAAUGGGGGGGGUGGGAAAGUUCCGGCGGUUGGGUGUGGAUUCGCGGCUUACCAGCUUGUUGGUGGGGUAGGGGCUUACCAAGCAUUUGAGGGUUCGCCGGCCUGAGAGGGUGACCGCCCACAUUGGGACUGAGAUACGGCCCAGACUCCUACGGGAGGCAGGAGUGGGGAAUAUAGCACAAUGGGCGGAAGCCUGAUGCAGCAACGCCGCGUGCGGGAUGACGGCCUUCGGGUUGUAAACCGCUUUCGCCUGUGACGAAGCGUGAGUGACGGUAAUGGGUAAAGAAGCACCGGCUAACUACGU
This 467-nucleotide ribosomal RNA is filed under the name uncultured bacterium. RNAcentral's name for it is "partial 16S ribosomal RNA". It matches the Rfam family "Bacterial small subunit ribosomal RNA", at positions 28 to 506 of the family's 1533-position model. The record is from RNAcentral.